Molecule: long non-coding RNA, 14564 nt
Filed under: Manihot esculenta (cassava)
Lineage: Eukaryota; Viridiplantae; Streptophyta; Magnoliopsida; Malpighiales; Euphorbiaceae
Description: long non-coding RNA (MESC_LNC010277)
Source: RNAcentral
GAUUUUGAGCAUGUUCAUGCAUCACGAAUGCCAUAAGAUAAAUUAGGUUGUUUGCAUUAGAAUUCACGAAUAUGUUGCAUUGCAUAAUGUGAUGAUGAUGUGGAUGGGUAUUGGAUGAUCCUUUAGUCCUCAUAUGAUAUGAUAUGAUGUGUUAUGAUAUGGUAUGGUAUGGAAGUCCAGGUCGAGGCCCAUUCUACGCCCCUGGCACUAUGUUAAGAGAAAGACCAGGUCGAGGCCCAUUCUACGCCCCUGGCAUUAUAGGAAUGUUAUGUUAUGUAUGUUAUGUUAAGAGAAAGACGAGGACGAGGCCUAUUCUACGCCCCUAGCACUAUUGGAUAGGUAGAGGACUAUUGGUGACAAAACCAUCCUUGAUGUUAUUUGUUUGUGAUGAGAUGCAUUCCAUUAAAGCAUGAAUUUUAAAUAUAAUGUUUUAUUAUUCUGCUCACUGGGCUCUAGUAGCUCACCCCAUUUCCCUAAUCCCCCAGGUAUGCAGGUACGGGAUAGGCCUAGAGGUCAAGAAGAGUAAAGUUAUAUUUUAUGUAAUAGUUAGCUGUGGACAUGAGAAUGAUGUAAUGUAUAAUAAUGUAAUGUAACGAUGUCUAUUGAGGUUUAUAGUUGUGCUUGACCCUAGUAUGUUAGUUAAUCCCUUUGUACAUGAUCUAUAAAAUGUUUUAUCACUGUUUAUGUAAACCAAACUUAUUAUAUGUAUGUUACCCCAUUGGAGCAUUGGUGAGGACUUUAAUGUGGGGUUGAUGGUUAUGCUUAUGAGUUGUGCAUGCACAGGUUGAGUUUGGUAAAUGAAUGAGAAAAGUUCAAAAUUUUUAUGUAUAUGUUGAUCACGUAUGGGAUUAAACAGGUGUACAGGUUGUAUGUUAGGCUUGCUACGGGUCCCGGCGGCCUUAAGUCGAUCUGGAUCCUAGUGCCUGUAGCGGUCCGAUUUUCGGGUCGUUACAGAGUGGUAUUAGAGCCCUAGGUUCAUAUGGUCGGACCUAGAGUGUCGGGCUUAUAGAUGUUCUAGAAGGUCAAGCACAAUAGGAAAAUCAUGUCCACUAGGAUUGGAUGUAGAGUCAUGUCUUGAAUGAUGAUGUGAAAUGCCAUGAUUUUAUGCAUGUGCAUUGAUGAUAUGCUAUGUAUGUGAUGGAUGUAUGUGGGUUCAUGUGUUUGCACAUGAACCAUUUGAUACUAACGUCUUAUGUGAUGUGUGCUGUUUUUCAGUAAGCAAGAUGAGAGGAACUCGUCGAUCUGCACGAUUGACUGGAGUACCACCUCAGGACGAGGGCACGGAUGCCCGUCCUCCUGCAUUGCCUAGGGCAAUGUCCUGCAGGUCUAGCAGGGAGAGAACAUCAAGGGACCCUAGAAGGUCUUUGAUGUGAGCAGAAGAGGAACAGUGCAAGGUGGAAUGUCGAAAGAUGUGGGGAAUGAUAUGGAUGUGGACUAGAGGAGGGAUGGCAGUCUUGGAGUGAGUAUGUCUGAAGAGGGCAUGGGAGAGUCUCAGGGAGGCACUCAGGCCUCAGGACUUGUUCAGCCACCCCAGUACUCACCCUUUUCACAGAAUCCCGGGUAUUCGAUGGGAGGUACAUCGGAUUACCCCAGCUUUAACCCUUAUCACUCUCACAUGCCAUACCCACCUUUCUACCCACCAUACCCAUAGUACCCUAUGUACCCACCCCCAUCUUUCUACCCAGGUACAGCAAACCCUAACCCAGGGGAUGUUGCACCUCCUCCACUACCAGCAGAACCUACUGUCCUAGAAACUCAAGUACCUAAACCUAGCUCAUCUGGAGGGAGCAAGGUCAAGAUGACCGAUUACAUGAAGCUGGGUGCUCCCCAGUAUGAAACAGGUGAUGACCCAUUUGAGUACCUUGGGAGGGUCAAGAUGAUUACAGAUGAGAUAGGAGCUGAUGACAGUAGAGCCAUUCAGAUGGCUGGGUUCACAUUGAAGUGCAAGAAGGCCCGAGAGUGGUUCAAAUACUAUGUGAACCCGAGAUUGGAUAGCCUAUCAUGGGAAGAGUUUGCUAAUGAGUUUACAGGAUGGGCUUUCCCUGACAGUUCAAGGGAGUUAAAGAUGAUCGAAUUUGAGCAGUUGAGGCAGACAGAGGAUAUGAGUGUAGAGGAGUUCACAGACAGGUUCUUAGAGCUGUUGCCAUUUGCAAGGCAGACCCUUGAUACAGAUCAGAAAAAGGCUAGGAGGUAUAUCAUGAAGCUUCAUUCCAGGUAUUCCUCCUUGAUCCAAUCAGUAGAUCGGGAGAGCUUCCAUGCCAUAGUAGAUAUGGCCCGGAAAAUGGAGGCUAGUGCCAUCAUUCAGGGAACAGUUAAGCAGACAGUGGCACAACCCUCUGGUUCCAAGACCCCAGGUGGGAAAGGUUAGACCCUUCUUCUAUGAGUGCAGAAGCUUUAGGUAGUAAAAAGUGGGGUAAGGCCAAGUCUAAGAAGAACAAGUUCUGGAAUAAGAUCAAGUCAGGUCUGGAAUUAGGGAGUGGCUCGAGCUCAGGUGCAGAUAAUGCAGUAUGCAUGAAGUGUGGGAAGCCGCACAAGGGAGUAUGUCGGUUUGGGACGACAGCCUGCUUCAGAUGUGGGCAGGAGGGACACAUGGCACGGGAGUGUCCCAGAGCAGCUUUUGUGCCACAGUCUCAGCAGACAGCUUCUAAUAGUGUGGCUCAGCCAAUAGCUCUAGCCAAUAGCUCCAGCCGCGACUCAGGCCAGUAGCAGAGGCAGAGGGAGAGGGUCAGCCUCUUCUUCAGCGGGUUUCAGGGGUGAAGGUCCAUCAGCUCCAGCACGGAUCUUCACGAUGACUCAGCAGGAGGCAAAUGCAUCCAACACCGUGGUGUCAGGUAAUCUCAUCAUUGGUUGUUCAGAUGUUUAUGCCUUAAUGGACCCUGGUGCAUCUCAUUCUUUCAUUGCUCCGAGAGCCGUCGAGAGGUUGGGUUUGAUGGUCUCUGGAUUAGAGUGUCCCCUAUGGGUCAGUGGACCCAAGUGCGACCCAUCAGUGGCAGAGUCAGUCUGCCAGUGUAGUCCAGUUUUUGUUGAGGGGAGAUGCCUUUCAGCCGACCUUGUGGUUCUAGAUUUGACAGAUUUUGACGUCAUUCUAGGGAUGGAUUGGCUAUGUACCCAUGGUGCUACCUUGGACUGCAGAGACAAGGUAGUCAGGUUCAGAGGUCAGGAUGGGUCAGAGGUUGUCUUCAGAGGAGACAGGAGGGGUACACCUAGAGGUUUGAUAUCAGCUCUACAGGCUCGUAGGCUGCUCAGGAGGGGUUGUCAGGGUUUUCUGGCUCAUGUGAGAGAGCUGGAUAGUCAUGUUAGAGAGCCCACCUCAGUGCCCGUGGUCAGAGAGUUUUUAGACGUCUUUCCAGACGAGCUGCCAGGUUUACCACCUGCUAGGGAGAUAGAGUUCGAAAUAGAGUUGAUGCCUGGAACCAGACCGAUCUCUAUCCCUCCCUACAGGAUGGCACCAGCUGAAUUGAAGGAGCUUAAAGAGCAGUUGCAAGAGUUGGUAGAUAAGGGCUUCAUCCGACCGAGUACCUCACCUUGGGGUGCUCCAGUGCUGUUUGUGAGAAAGAAGGAUGGAUCCCUCAGACUUUGUAUCGACUUCAGGCAGUUGAACAAGGUCACUACCAAUAAUAAGUACCCGUUGCCAAGGAUCGACGAUCUAUUCGACCAGCUAGCAGGAGCAGGUUGUUUCUCCAAGAUAGAUCUGAGAUCCGAGUACCAUUAGCUGAGGAUAAGAGAAGAGGAUGUGCCGAAGACGGCGUUCAGAACCAGAUAUGGGCACUAUGAGUUCCUUGUGAUGCCGUUCGGGUUAACCAAUGCCCCUGCAGCAUUCAUGGAUCUCAUGAACAGAGUUUUCAGUCAGUAUCUGGAUCACUUUGUUAUUGUCUUCAUAGAUGAUAUCUUAGUGUACUCCAGGAAUGCAGAGGAGCAUGCCCAUCAUCUGAGGUUAGUUCUGCAGACCUUGAGGGAACACAACUUGUAUGGCAAGUUCUCCAAGUGUGAGUUCUGGCUGAGGAGCAUCUCUUUCUUGGGGCAUGUUGUGUUAGAAAAUGGAAUCGAGGUGGACCCCAAGAAAGUAGAAGCCGUAGCUAACUGGCCUAGACCCACUACAGUGACAGAGAUCAAGAGCUUCUUGGGUUUGGCAGGUUACUACAGGAGGUUCGUUCAGGACUUCUCUAAGAUUGCAGCUCCUAUGACCAGACUGACUAAGAAGAAUCAGAGGUUUGUGUGGACUGACCAGUGUGAAGAAAGCUUUGAAGAACUAAAGAAGAGGUUGACGUCGACACCAGUGUUAGCUCUGCCAACUAGUAAUGAAGACUUCACGGUUUUCUGUGAUGCGUCCUGUGUGGGACUGGGUUGUGUGCUGAUGCAGAAUGAAAGGGUGAUUGCUUAUGCUUCUAGAUAGCUGAAGAAGCACGAGUUGAAUUACCCUACACAUGACCUAGAAAUGGCAGCGGUGAUCUUUGCACUCAAGAUGUGGAGGCAUUACCUUUAUGGGGUAAAAUGUGAGAUCUUCACAGAUUAUAAGAGCCUGCAGUACACCUUGAGUCAAAGAGAAUUGAAUCUGAGGCAGAGAAGAUGGGUAGAGCUACUUAGUGACUACGAUUGUAAGAUUCAGUACCAUCCGGGUAAGGCGAAUGUUGUGGCAGACACCUUAAGCCGGAAAUCACUUGGCAGUUUGUCCCAUAUUUCGGCAGAGAGAAGACCAGUGGUGAGGCAGUUCUUCGAGCUCAUUAAUGAAGGUUUGCAGUUGGAGUUGUCUGGUAUAGGUGCUUUGGUAGCUCAGAUGAGAGUAACACCUGUGUUUCUGGAGCAGGUGGCUUAGAAACAGCAUGAGGACCCAGAGUUAGUGAAGAUUGCCAGGACUGUUCAGUCAGGCAAGAAUGCUAAGUUCAGAUUUGACAGCAAAGGGAUCCUCCGCUAUGGGAAUAGAUUGUGUGUGUUAGAUGACGUGGGUCUAAAGGGAGACAUUAUGAGAGAGGCUCAUAGUGCCAGAUACAGUGUUCACCCUAGAGCCACCAAAAUGUAUCAAGAUCUGAAGAGAGUUUAUUGGUGGCCAGCUAUGAAAAGAGAAGUGGCACAGUUCGUGUCAGCCUGCGAAGUAUGUCAGAGGGUGAAGCUGGAACAUCAGAAGCCGGCUGGAAUGCUCAACCCGCUACCUAUUCCAAAGUGAAAAUGGGAGAAUAUAGCUAUGGACUUCGUAGUGGGGUUACCGGCAGCGUUCAACAGAUUGGACUCCAUAUGUGUAAUAGCCCGAAAAUCGGACCGCUACCGGCGCUAGGAUCCAGAUCGGCAUAAGGCCGUCGGGACCCGUAGCAAGCCUAACAUGCAUCCUGUAUACCUGAUUAAUCCCAUACAUGAUCAACAUUUACAUAAAAACUUUAAACUUUCUUUCUUUCAUUUAUCGAGCUUAACCUGUGCAUGCACAACUCAUAAUCAUAAACCCCAACACUAGAGUCCUCAUCAACAACUCUAAUGGGGCAACAUACAUUAAGCUUGGUUUUCAUGUCUCAAUAUAAAACAUACAUAAAGACCAUGUACAGAGGGAUGAACCACACACUAGGGCAAAGCACAACUCUAUCUAUUACAUUACAUUAUCUCAUUUUACAUUUUAAUACAUAUCUUUACAUUACAUCAUGUCCACAACUAUACUAUUACAUAAAAUCAUAACCAUUGCCAUAACCUGCUGACCUCCAGAACUAUCUCUGACCCUGCAAACAUGGGGUUAGGGAAGAGGGGUGAGCUAUAAAGCCCAGUGAGCAGAACUAAAUAGAAAAACAGUUUAUUAUAUCAUAUGCUUUCAUGACAUGCAUCACAUCACAAACAAUACACAUCAAGGAUGAAUUUGUCACCAAUAGCCCUCAACAUAUAAAUGUCAUAUCAUAACAAGUUCAGCAAUGCUCUAUGCUAGGGGCGAUACGGCCACGCCUGGACUUCACAUACUCUAUGCCAGGGGCGAUACGGCCACACCUGGACUUCUCUUACUCUAUGCCAGGGGCGAUACGGCCACGCCUGGUCUUUCCAUCUCAUAUCAUGUCAUACAUGUCAUAUCGUGUCAUACUGAGGGCUAAUGGAUCAUCCAAUAUCCAUCCACAUCAUCAUCAUUGUAUUAUGCAAUGCAAUAUAUUUGUGAACUCUAAUGCAACAACCUAUUACAUAACAUGUUAUUCGUGAUGCAUGAACAUGCUUAAAACAUUUAAUUUCUUUAAUAUUAAAAGAGUUAUGUUCUACUCACCUUUGACUAGCUCUGGACUGACUCUGAAGCAGCUAACACUGCCAAACACCUCGGUUCCUCGGGUCCAAUCCUACACAGGUGGACUCUAGUGAGGUGCCAAACACACUCUAAACAACUCAUAAACAACUCCCCAAAACCCCCUAAAACAUCGCCAAAGCAUGCAUAGAAAAUACCCAAGAAAAGGCUGGACAGGGCACUUUCGGCGGCAGGUUCGGUUGCCAAAAGUCCCUCCAGAGCCGAAACUCAGCUACUUUCGGCGGCACCUUUGGCGGCCGAAAGUCUCUUCCAGAGACGAAACUCAUGCAUGUUCGGCGGCACCUUCGGCGGUCGAAUCUCCCCUCCAGAGCCGAAAGUCCAACUUUCGGGGGCAAGGUUCGGCAGCCAAAAGCUGCCUCCACAGGCAGGUUCGGAGGCCGAAAGUCCCUUCGGCUGCCGAACCUGAGUUCAUCCAGAACUCAGCCUCAUGCAUAAACAAGUCUCCAAACAUCCUAAACAUGCAUUCAACUUCUCAAAAACAUGCAUAAAUCCUUAACCAUGCAUAAAGGAGCUUAACAACUAGAUUAAACUCCAAAAACAACAUCAAAAAGCAUACAUAAAUAGCUUAUGACCCACAUAAGCCAAAACCAUUAAAACAACCCAAAAUCUCACUUGCCCUCUCCCAAUCAUGCAUACACUCUCCCACAUGCAUAUAGGGCAUAAACACUAGUCCAGGCCCCCAACAAUCAGCACAUAAACAUACAUUGGGCACAAAAUCCACAUAAACCUUAACAUGCAUAUCUACCCAUACUCAACCAUUAAAACCUCUUAAAACUUCAUUAAACACAAAGGGAAGCAAGGAUCUACACUUACCUCUUGAAGAUCGAGGGUUGGUGCGAUUCCUAACUCGGAGGUGUGAAGGAUCCAAGCUCCAAAAGCCUCCAAGCUCCAAAACUUCUAUUUAAGCUUCAAAACUUCAAAACAAGGGUAGAACUCAUGAAAACUUGAGGGAUGGGUAGGGAAAGCAUGAAAAUAACCAAAGGAGGACAAAAACUCACCUGAGCUCCAGAAUGGGGAGAAAACUCGCCCAUUUCCGAUCUGAGGGCUCUUUAUAGGCGGCCUGGUCAACGACCUUCGGCAGCCUAACGUGCCCCCUAAACUCAUGCAUGUUUGGCGGCCGAACUUGAGGUUCGGCGGCCGAACCUUGGUUCGUUCAAACAAAGCUUUCGGAGGCCAAAAGCGCCCCCGAAACCUUCCCAUGUUCGGCGGCCGAACUUCACUUUCGGCGGCCGAACCUGGCAAAUGCCUCCUUGGCCUAAUCUUUUAAAAACUCAUUUCUUUUCCAUUAAAAAUCAUAAAAUCGUAUGAAAACAUUUUAGAAACACAUUUUACCCCUCUAGAAGACUCUGGCAUCGUCAGAAUUUCAUAUUCCAAAGGAGAUUCAGCCGGAAGGUAGGGAUUCUAAUGCCGAAAUCUAGUCGGGUAUUAUAAUAUGGGUGAUUGUGGACAGACUGACCAAAUCUGCUCACUUCAUUCCUGUUAAGAGUAACUACUCUGUGGACAAGUUGGCGCAGGUGUAUGUUGAUGAGGUUGUCAGGUUGCAUAGGGUUCCUGUUUCAAUAGUGUCUGAUAGAGGACCCCAGUUCACAUUCAGGUUUUGGUGGAGUCUGCAGAAUGCUAUGGGUACCAGGUUGAAUUUUAGCACUGCUUUCCAUCCACAGACGGAUGGACAGUCAGAGAGGACCAUCCAGACAAUAGAGGAUAUGCUCAGAAUGUGUGUGCUAGAUUUUGGCGGUUCUUGGAGGCAGCAUCUACCUUUGGUGGAGUUUGCUUACAAUAACAGUCAUCAUGCUAGCAUAGGGAUGGCUCCAUAUGAAGCUUUGUAUGGAAGGAAGUGCAGGUCGCCUGUCUGUUGGGAGGAAGUUGGAGAAAGGGCCUUGGCAGGGCCUGAACUAGUAGAGAUCACCAGCAGAGUGGUGCCCAUAAUCAGAGAAAGGAUCAAGACUGUUGCGAGCAGGCAGAAGAGUUAUGCAGAUAUCCGCAGAAGGCAAGUAGAAUUUUAGGAGGGGGAUUUGGUGUUGCUCAAGGUGUCUCCUAUGAAAGGGGUGAUUCGGUUCGGGAAGAAAGGUAAGCUAGCUCCACGAUACAUCGGACCCUUUGAAAUCUUGCAAAAGAUCGGGAAUGUAUCAUAUAAGCUAGAUUUACCUGCUUCAAUGGAGAGAAUCCAUCCGGUUUUCUAUGUUUCCAUGUUAAGAAAGUUCGUGUCAGAUCCGGGCAAGGUUCUUAGUGAGCCUGAUGUGGAGAUCCAAGAAGAUCUCACCUAUGUUGAGCAGCCAGUACGGAUCCUAGACACCCAGAUCAGAAAGUUGAGAAAUAAGGAGAUCCCAAUGGUGAAAGUCCUUUGGAAUCACUACAACAUCGAAGAAUGUACCUAGGAGACACGGGAGUCUAUGCUCCAGCAAUAUCCUCAUCUCUUCUAAGGUUAGUUUUAUGUGUGUUUUAUGUGUAUGAUAUGUUGUAUGCUAUGCAUGAGUUGUUUGGUGAACAUUCGAGGACGAAUGUUCUUAAGGGGGGGAGAAUGUAAUACCCGGCUAGACUUCGGUAUCGGAAUUCCUACCGUCCGGUAGGAUCUCGGAUGUCGGAGACCUCUAGAGGGGUAAAAUCAUGUUUUCAUAAAAUGUUUUAAUGUGUUUUAUGAUUUUAAGUAAGAAAGAAAUUGAAAUUUGAAUGAAAAAGACCAUUGAGGCAUUUCCAGGUUCGGCCGCCGAACCUCAAGUUCGGCUGCCGAACGUGGGAUAGUUUAGGGGGGCAAGUUAGGCUUCCGAAAGUGGCUCAGGUUCGGCCGCCGAAACCCAUGUUUGGCCGCCGAACUUGCAUGAGUUUUGGAGGCACUUUAGGCUGCCGAAGGUGACUUUGCCAGCCCCUAUAUAAGGGCUCCAUGGCCGAAACGGGCGAGUUUUCUCCCCAUUUUCGGCCAACGGUGAGUCCAUGCUCUCCCACGGUAGGUUUUGUUGAUUUUUCUCAAAUCUUUCAAGUUUUAAUGAGUUCUAACUUGGUUUUGAAGAGAUUUGAAGCUUAGAGAAAGUUUUGGAGCUUGGAGGUUCAAAGAGCUAGAUUGUAAUACCCGGCCAUCUAGUGAUGAGGACUUUACAGUCUUUUGUGAUGCGUCCCGUGUGGGAUUGGGUUGUGUACUGAUGCAGAACGAGAGGGUGAUUGCUUAUGCUUCUAGGCAGCUGAAGAAACAUGAGUUGAAUUACCCCACGCAUGACCUUGAGAUGGCAGCAGUAAUCUUUGCACUCAAGAUGUGGAGGCACUACCUCUAUGGGGUAAAAUGUGAGAUCUUCACAGAUCAUAAAAGCCUGCAGUACAUCCUGAGUCAAAGAGAUUUGAAAUUGAGACAGAGGAGAUGGGUAGAGCUGCUGAGUGACUAUGAUUGCAAGAUUCAGUAUCAUCCGGGUAAGGCGAAUGUCGUGGCAGACGCCCUAAGCCGGAAGUCACUAGGCAGUCUAUCCCAUAUCACGGCAGAGAGGAGACCAGUGGUGAAGGAGUUUUACAAGCUCAUUGAUGAAGGUCUACAGAUGGAGUUGUCUGGUACAGGUGCUUUAGUGGCCCAGAUGAGAGUGGCACCCGUGUUUCUGGAGCAGGUGGCUCAGAAACAGCAUGAGGACCCGGAGUUAGUGCAGAUUGCCAGGACUGUUCAGUCAGGCAAAGAUAGUGAGUUCAGAUUCGACAGCAAGGGGAUCCUCCGCUAUGGGAGCAGACUAUGUGUACCAGAUGACAUAGGGCUAAAAGGAGACAUUAUGAGAGAGGCUCAUAAUGCACGAUACAGCGUUCACCCCGGAGCCACCAAGAUGUAUCAAGAUCUGAAGAAGGUUUAUUGGUGGCCAGCGAUGAAGAAAGAAGUGGCACAGUUUGUGUCAGCCUGCGAAGUGUGUCAGAGUGUGAAGCUGGAACAUCAGAAGCAGGCUGGAAUGCUUAACCCGCUACCUAUUCCAGAAUGGAAAUGGGAAAAUAUAGCUAUGGACUUCGUAGUGGGGUUACCGGCGGCGUUUAACAGAGUGGACUCCAUAUGGGUGAUUGUGGACAGACUCACCAAAUCUGCUCACUUCAUUCCUGUCAGGAGUGGCUACUCUGUGGACAAGUUGGCGCAGGUAUAUGUGGAUGAGAUCGUCAGGCUGCAUGGGGUUCCUGUUUCGAUAGUGUCAGAUAGAGGGCCCCAGUUCACCUCCAGAUUUUGGCGGAGUCUGCAGAACGCCAUGGGUACCAGGUUGGAUUUCAGUACUGCCUUCCACCCCCAGACAGACGGACAAUCAGAAAGGACCAUCCAGACCAUACAGGAUAUGCUCAGAAUGUGUGUGUUGGACUUUGGCGGUUCUUGGAGGCAACAUCUACCUUUGGUGGAGUUUGCCUACAAUAACAGCCAUCAUGCUAGCAUCGGGAUGGCUCCAUAUGAAGCUUUAUAUGGAAGGAGGUGCAGAUCUCCUGUUUGCUGGGAAGAGGUUGGAGAAAAGGCCUUGGCAGGGCCUGAGCUAGUAGAGAUUACCAGCAGGGUAGUACCAAUAAUCAGAGAAAGGAUCAAGACUGCUGCAAGUAGACAGAAGAGUUAUGCAGACAUCCGCAGGCGGCAGGUAGAGUUUCAGGAGGGGGAUCUGGUAUUGCUUAAGGUGUCUCCUAUGAAAGGAGUGGUUCGCUUCGGAAAGAAAGGUAAACUAGCCCCACGAUACAUCGGACCCUUCGAAAUCUUGCAAAAGAUUGGGAAUGUGUCGUACAAGCUGGAUUUACCUGCUUCAAUGGAAAGAAUCCAUCCGGUUUUCCAUGUUUCAAUGUUGAUGAAGUUUGUGUCAGAUCCGAGCAAGGUUCUUAGUGAGCCUGAGGUGGAGGUCCAAGAAGAUCUCACCUAUGUUGAACAGCCAGUUCGGAUCAUAGACACCCAGAUCAGAAAGUUAAGGAACAAGGAAAUCCCGAUGGUGAAAGUCCUGUGGAACCACCACAGUUUGGAGGAAUGCACUUGGGAGACACGGGAGUCUAUGCUCCAGCAGUACCCUCAUCUCUUUUAAGGUUAGAUCUCUAUGUGUUUAUGUGCUAUGUAUGUAUGUUAUGUUUUAUGCCAUGUUAUGUGCUAGUUGAGGAACAUUCGGGGAUGAAUGUUCUUAAGGGGGGGAGAUUGUAAUACCCGGCUAGACUCCGGUAUCGGAAUUCCUACCGUCCGGUGGAAACUCGGAUGUCGGAAGCCUCUAGUAGGGUAGAAUCAUGUUUUCAUAAAAUGUUUUAAGGUAUUCCAUGGUUUUAAGUAAAAUGGAAAUGAGUUUUUGCAUAAAAACAACCUUGGAGGAAACCUCAAGUUCGGCCGCCGAACAUGGCAUGCAUGCGGAGGCACAUUCGGCCCCCGAACGUGGCCUGGCCAACCACUAUAAAAGGGUCCCUUAGUCGAAAACGGGCGAGCUUUUCCCCAUUUUCGGCCAAGGUGAGCUUUCCGCCGCCCCUCACCGAUCUUUGAUGUUUUUCCUCUAGAUCUUUCAAGUUUUUCAUUUGUUUUAACUUCGUUUUGAAGAUUUGAGCUUUUGAGCAAAGUUUUGGAGCUUUGAGGUUCAAGAACUCAAAUCUCUCCCAACUCCAAGUUUGGUCGCCUCUACUCUCGAUCUUCAAGAGGUAAGAGUAGAUCUCUAGCUUAUAUUAUGUUUUAAGUAAGUUUUAUGAAGUUCAUGGGGAUAGAAUGCAUGUUUAGGUCAUAGUUAUGUUUAUGGGUAUAAAUGUAUGUUCUUGAACAAUGUGGCUUGUAAUGUGUGUUUGAUGUGUUGUAGUUGGGGUUUAAGGUAGUUUGAGACCCCUAGGAGCUUGAAUGCAUGUUUUGGUUGAGCUAAAUGCAUGUUGGUUUGAGUUUGGAGGCAUUUGUGCAUGUUUGAACCGAGUUUCUGCCCUUUUGGGAGAAACCAGGUUCGGCAGCCGAAGGGACUUUCGGCUGCCGAACCCUCUUGUGGAGGCAGCCUUCGGCUGCCGAAGCUUGCCCCCGAAAGGAGACCUUCGUCUCUGUCUGGGAGUUUCGGCCGCCGAAAGUGCCGCUGAACAUGCAUGAGUUUCGCCUCUGUCUGGGAGUUUCGGCCGCCGAAGGUGCCGCCGAACCUGCUUGACUUUCGGCUCUGGAGGGACUUUCGGCCGCCGAACCUGCCGCCGAAAGUGCCCUGUUCAGCCAUUUCUUGCAUGUUUUUCUAUGAUUGUUUCAUGAUGUUUUAGGGGGUUCUUGGGGAGUAGUUUAGAGUUAUGUUCUUGUUUGUUUGGUCCCUCAUUUGAGUCCACCUGUGUAGGUUCGGACCCGAGGAACCGAGGACCCCAGCAGUGAGUUAGCUGCUCCAGUGUCUGGUCAGAGCUACCCAGAGGUGAGUGGAAUAACUUAUUAUGUUUUUAAGUAAAUAAUGGACUUUUCAGCAUGUUUCAUGCAUCACGAAUGCCAUGUGAUGAAUUAGGUUGCUUGCAUUAGAAUUCACGAAUAUGUUGCAUUGCAUAUUUUAAAUGUUGAUGUGGAUGAAUGUUGGAUGAUCCAUAGCCCUCGAUCUACGAUGUGAUGAUGUACGGUACGGAAUGUAAGACCAGUGGGACCCAUUCUACGUUCGCUGGCACUAUGUAAGGGAAAGACCAGGACCCAUUCUACGUUCUGGCACAGUUGGACCAUGUAGAGGGCUAUUGGUGACAAGUUCAUCCUUGAUUGUGAUUAGCUGUGAUGUGAUGCAUUCCAUGAUCCAUAUGAUUUAAAUGUUUUUUUUUAUCAUUCUGCUCACUGGGCUCUAGUAGCUCACCCCUCUCCCAAUUUCCCCAGGAUUGCAGGUACAGGGUAGACCAGGAGGUUUACAAGAGUAUUGAAGUUUCGUAUUUGUAAUAGAUAGUGUGGACAUGAUAAAUGUAUUAAUGUUAUGUAAAAGUACAGUUUUAAGUAUGUAAUGACUUUGAGGACUAGAGGUUGUGCUUGACUAUAUGUUUAAGAUAUCCCUUUCAAUACAUGAUCUUAUAUGUUUUAUGAUGAGUAUGCAAACCAACUCAACGUAUGAUGUAUCGCCCAUUGGGGCAUUGAUGAGAUCCCACAGAGGGAUUAUGAUUAUGGUUAUGUUAUGUUCAGUGCAUGCACAGGUUGAGUUUGGUUGAUGUAUAUGGAAAGAAAAGUUUUAAUUUUUAUGCAUGUUGUUGAUCAUGUAUGGGAUUGUACAGGUUUACAGGUUUUAUGUUAGGCUUGCUACGGGUCCCGGCGGCCUUAAGCCGACCUGGAUCCUAGCGCCGGUAGCGGUCCAAUUUUCGGGUCGUUACAUAGAUCUCUCCCAUCUCCGAGUUGGAUCGCCUUUCCUCUCGAUCUUCAAGAGGUAAGAGUAGAUCCUUAGCUCAUUUCAUGUUUUAAACAAGUUUUAUGAAAGUUUAUGAGGUAGAAAUGCAUGUUAGGUUAAUAUUGAGUUUUUGGGUUAAUGUUGAGUUUUUUAGCAAUGUAUGUUGUAUAUGCAUGUUUGAUGUGUUGUAGUUGGGGUUUAGGAUAGUUUGAGGCCCCUAUGAGCUUAUGAAAGUAUGUAGGCAUGUUUUGGAAGUGUUGGUUUUGAGUUGAAUGGUUUGGGAGGCUAAAUGUGCAUUGUGGAGGCUGAGUUCUGUCCUUUGAAAGAAAUUAGGUUCGGCAGCCGAAGGGACUUUCGGCCGCCGAACUUGCCUGUGGAGGCCAGCCUUUGGCUGCCGAACCCUGCCCCGAAAGUGGACUUUCGGCUCUGGAAGGGAGUUUCGGCCGCCGAAGGUGCCGCCGAACAUGCAUGAGUUUCAUUUCUGGAAGGAACCUUCGGCCGCCGAAAGUGCCGCCAAAGGUGCAUGACUUUCGUCUCUGGAGGGACUUUCGGCCGCCGAACCUGCCGCCGAAAGUGCCCUGUUCAGCCUUCCUUUGCAUGAUUUCUAUGAUUGUUUUAAGGUGUUUUAGGGGAUUUUUGGGGAGUAUUUUAGAGUCAUGUUCAUGUAUAUUUGGUCCCUCAUUUGAGUCCACCUGUGUAGGUUCAGACCCGAGGAACUGAGGACCCCAGCAGUGAGACAGCUGCUUCAGUGUCUUGUCAAAGCUAGCCUGAGGUGAGUGGAAUAACUCUUUAUGUUUCAAAGUAAAUAAAUCAGAUUUUGAGCAUGUUCGUGCAUCAUGAAUGCCAUAAGAUAAAUUAGGUUGUUUGCAUUAGAAUUCACGAAUAUGUUGCAUUGCAUAAUGUGAUGAUGAUGUGGAUGGGUAUUGGAUGAUCCUUUAGUCCUCGUAUGAUAUGAUAUGAUGUGUUAUGAUAUGGUAUGGUAUGGAAGUCCAGGUCGAGGCCCAUUCUACGCCCCUGGCACUAUGUUAAGAGAAAGACCAGGUCGAGGCCCAUUCUAC